ACCUCCGGACUGGGGUUCGCAAGCUUCGCGGCGAACGUACCUCGGGAAGUUGGUUAAACCUCACUAUUUAGAGGAAGGUGAAGUCGUAACAAGGUCUCCGUAGGUGAACCUGCAGAAGGAUC
Molecule: ribosomal RNA, 122 nt
Filed under: Aureococcus anophagefferens
Lineage: Eukaryota; Pelagophyceae; Pelagomonadales; Pelagomonadaceae
Description: partial small subunit ribosomal RNA
Rfam family: Eukaryotic small subunit ribosomal RNA
Source: RNAcentral